Long non-coding RNA from Homo sapiens (human), 835 nucleotides. The record is from Ensembl. Lineage: Eukaryota; Metazoa; Chordata; Mammalia; Primates; Hominidae.
CCGGUCAGGAAGCUUUAUGUUCUGGAUCAUCCAGGAGAGGGACAGAGGUGGUCGGUUGGUGCGACUCAUAAACAACCUCUUCAGCACAACCUGGUUGAAUGUGGAGUUGUUCCGUCUGACCAGAAACCUGUACAGUUUGACCAACAGCCUCAGGGUGUUGGUGUCCCUCUGUUGCCCAGGCUGGAGUGCAGUGGCAAGACUGGCUCACUGCAACCUCCACCUCCUGGGAUCAAGCGAUCCUCCCAUCUCAUCCUCCAGGAGCUGGGACUAAAGACAGUUGACCAUUAAACAACACAGGUUUGAACUGAGUGGAUCCACUUAUAUGCAUACGUGCAUUUUCUCCUGACUCGGCCACCCCUGAGACAGCAAGACCAAUCACUCCUCUUUGACUUCCUCCUCAUUUUACUCAAUGUGAAGACCACCAGGAUGAAGACCUUUAUGAUGAUCCACUUCCACUUAAUGAAUAGGGGCAAGAGACAAUAUAGGAAGGAAGAGAUGCAGUUCUGGAUUUUACAGGCUUAUGGAGUAGACCAAUGUUUGGAACGCCAUAUGGAUUUAUGGAUCUUCUUUCCACGUAGGAAGAUGACUUCUUUGAAAGACAGGUAAUGUGAGACACAUGCCCUGAACUCCGGAGUGAAUAGCAGCUGAAACAGCUGCUGGAGCCCCUAUCCUGCCAGCAAGUAUCCCCUUCAUCUUCAGGCUGACAGAGAGCUGCUGGCUGCAUCUGAUCUGUCAGCUGCUUCACUCCUCCGGAAUGAGCAAAUAGUCUGUGCCCUGAUCUAAGAUGAGAAAAAACAACAGCCUAAUCACUAAAAACUCUGCCACUGACGCACAU